UACGAGAGGCCCAAACGUUAUUCGGAAUUACUGGGCUUAAAGAGUUCGUAGGCGGCAUUGCAAGUAGGGUGUGAAAGCCCUCGGCUCAACCGAGGAAUUGCGCUCUAAACUGCAGUGCUUGAGGACCUAGAGGUGAGCAGAACAGAUGGUGGAGCGGUGAAAUGCGUUGAUAUCAUCUGGAAUACCGGAGGCGAAGGCGGCUCACUGGGAGUUUUCUGACGCUGAGGAACGGAAAGCCAGGGUAGCGAACGGG
RNAcentral lists this ribosomal RNA (253 nucleotides) under uncultured bacterium. Its description in RNAcentral is "partial 16S ribosomal RNA". It matches the Rfam family "Bacterial small subunit ribosomal RNA", at positions 524 to 776 of the family's 1533-position model. The record is from RNAcentral.